Sander lucioperca (pikeperch) is the source of this 1127-nucleotide long non-coding RNA. RefSeq lists it as uncharacterized. The transcript has 5 exons. Lineage: Eukaryota; Metazoa; Chordata; Actinopteri; Perciformes; Percidae. The record is from RefSeq and is a predicted model, not a curated record.
CUUUGGUUUAUUUCAGCUGCUGAAGCUGAAGCUGGAGAUGUUGACAUUACAUACAGUGAUGUCACAAUAUCACGUAACCUGCAGCAGCCAAUCAGACGGAGCAGAGAGAGUGAUCCUGCUGUAAUCUACUCCGGAGUGAGAACAGAAGACGUCUGUUACGGACAAAUAGUGAUCAAAGACAAGAAAUCAAACAGGAAGAGAGAGAGGGAUCCUGCUGCAAUCUACUCCGGAGUGAGAACAACAGACGUCAGUUAUGGACAAAUAGUGAUCAAAGACAAGAAAAGAAACAGGAAGAGAGAGAGAGAUCCAGCUGCAGUCUCCUCAGCAGUGAGAGGAGCAGAAGACGUCAGUUAUGGACAAAUAGUGAUCAAAUCAAACAGGACCAGAGAGCCUCCAGCAGACCCAGAGGUCCUCUACUCCUCACUGAGGAAGACCUGAACACCAUCACACCAGUCCAACCAGUGGAGUCCAGCGGGCCAAUCACUGGUCCCCAGAGACCCUCACAUCUACAUCUGUACCUGUAUAGCAGUCCGGUCAUCCAACCAACUGGCUUUAGAAGUCCCAAGGUCCAGGUACAAACUGUGGGGGGGAUCGCUCUUUUGCAGUUGCUGCCUCGAGACUUUGAAACAAGUUACCACCUGACAUUCACACCAUUACAGACGUCGCUCUUUUGAACAAAAUUAAAACUUCCUUAUUUAGAAUGGCUUUUAAUGCACAGUAGUGUUGCUGCAUUUUCACUUUCUUUCUCCUGUUUUUAUGCAACAGUUUCAGAUUUUACUGUAUUCUAUGUUUGACUCUUUUUAUUGUAUGAUAUGUUGUUUUAUUCUUGGUCCUUCGAGCACUUUGGAUACCUGUUGGUUGCUGUGAAGCAGUAUGAAUAAAUGUUGAUUGAUGUUAAGGUUAAAUGAGAUUAAUGCAGCUACAAAAAGCAUAUUUACAUUCUUUAGAUGUGUUUCCUUCAAUGCUUCUUAUUUAAGUCAUAGAUUUGUUGCUCUGUAAGUGUUCAUUACGUUGCACAACAACCAACAAAUAUCUACUGAACAGAGUCUAAUGAUAAUAACUAUUUACUGAUAUUGAUAUUGUAUUUAUGAGCUUGUUUCUGUGCAGGAUCAAUAAACUCUGGUGUC